Molecule: ribosomal RNA, 509 nt
Filed under: unidentified marine eubacterium
Lineage: Bacteria
Description: bacterial SSU rRNA
Rfam family: Bacterial small subunit ribosomal RNA
Source: RNAcentral
GGAGGGGGUUAGCGUUGUUCGGAAUUACUGGGCGUAAAGCGCGCGUAGGCGAUUAGAAAGUUGGGGGUGAAAUCCCGGGGCUCAACCUAGGAACUGCCUCCAAAACUGCUAGUCUAGAGUUCGAGAGAGGUGAGUGGAAUUCCGAGUGUAGAGGUGAAAUUCGUAGAUAUUCGGAGGAACACCAGUGGCGAAGGCGGCUCACUGGCUCGAUACUGACGCUGAGGUGCGAAAGUGUGGGGAGCAAACAGGAUUAGAUACCCUGGUAGUCCACACCGUAAACGAUGAAUGCCAGUCGUCGGGUAGUAUACUAUUCGGUGACACACCUAACGGAUUAAGCAUUCCGCCUGGGGAGUACGGUCGCAAGAUUAAAACUCAAAGGAAUUGACGGGGGCCCGCACAAGCGGUGGACAUGUGGUUUAAUUCGAAGCAACGCCAGAACCUUACCAACCCUUGACAUCCUGUGCUACAUCCAGAGAUGGAUGGUUCCCUUCGGGACCGCAGUGACAGGU